RNAcentral lists this long non-coding RNA (413 nucleotides) under Canis lupus familiaris (dog). Its description in RNAcentral is "lncRNA (ENSCAFG00845028651.1)". The record is from RNAcentral. Lineage: Eukaryota; Metazoa; Chordata; Mammalia; Carnivora; Canidae.
CCCAUUUUGCAGAUAAGGAAACUAAGGCAAAAUGAGGUUCUGAAACUUACUAUCAAUCACACUGCUGAGAGGUGGUGAUAAGUUGGAAUUCUCGUCUAACUUUUCCUAAAGAGGUGAACACUGGAAAAACAUGACUGAUUCUGUGCAACUUGGAAAAGGAAAAGUCAUCAGCAAGUCCCAUCCUUACCACACACAAAUACAUUACAGAGAGGGCCAAGCUGGAGGUGGUGUUGUUGACAGAAACAUUGUAAGCAGAGAAGGUGAAUCAAUCCAUGGAGUAUCCCUAUCACACUGGAUGAAGAUGGAUGAGCUGGGAAUCUGAGCGAGAAUAAGACUUUAAAGAAUGUUCUCAAUGUGAUUGAGGCCGAAGAGAAGCAGAUUUCUCACCCCCAUGAGGUAGGGUUCCUUUCUAA